UACGUAGGGGGCUAGCGUUGUCCGGAAUCAUUGGGCGUAAAGCGCGCGUAGGCGGCCCGGUAAGUCCGUUGUGAAAGUCAAAGGCUCAACCUUUGAAAGCCGAUGGAUACUGCCGGGCUGGAGUCCGGAAGGGGCGAGUGGAAUUCCUGGUGUAGCGGUGGAAUGCGCAGAUAUCAGGAGGAACACCAAUAGCGAAGGCAGCUCGCUGGGACGGUACUGACGCUGAGGCGCGAAAGCGUGGGGAGCGAACAGG
Molecule: ribosomal RNA, 253 nt
Filed under: uncultured bacterium
Lineage: Bacteria
Description: partial 16S ribosomal RNA
Rfam family: Bacterial small subunit ribosomal RNA
Source: RNAcentral